RNAcentral lists this ribosomal RNA (1115 nucleotides) under uncultured cyanobacterium. RNAcentral's name for it is "bacterial SSU rRNA". It matches the Rfam family "Bacterial small subunit ribosomal RNA", at positions 389 to 1514 of the family's 1533-position model. The record is from RNAcentral. Lineage: Bacteria; Bacillati; Cyanobacteriota.
GAGCAGACCGCGUGGGGGAGGAAGGCCCUUGGGUUGUAAACCCCUUUUAUCAGGGAAGAAGAAAGUGACGGUACCUGAGGAAUCAGCCUCGGCUAACUCCGUGCCAGCAGCCGCGGUAAUACGGAGGAGGCAAGCGUUAUCCGGAAUCAUUGGGCGUAAAGCGUCCGCAGGUGGCUAGGCAAGUCUGCCGUUAAAGACCGGAGCUCAACUCCGGGUCGGCGGUGGAAACUGCCUCAAGCUAGAGGCCGGUAGGGGUAGCGGGAAUUCCCAGUGUAGCGGUGAAAUGCGUAGAGAUUGGGAAGAACAUCGGUGGCGAAAGCGCGCUACUGGGCCGGACCUGACACUCAGGGACGAAAGCUAGGGGAGCGAAAGGGAUUAGAUACCCCUGUAGUCCUAGCCGUAAACGAUGGAGACUAGGCGUGGCUCGUCUCGACCCGAGCUGUGCCGAAGCUAACGCGUUAAGUCUCCCGCCUGGGGAGUACGCACGCAAGUGUGAAACUCAAAGGAAUUGACGGGGGCCCGCACAAGCGGUGGAGUAUGUGGUUUAAUUCGAUGCAACGCGAAGAACCUUACCAGGGCUUGACAUGUCGCGAACCCCGGUGAAAGCUGGGGGUGCCUUCGGGAGCGCGAACACAGGUGGUGCAUGGCUGUCGUCAGCUCGUGUCGUGAGAUGUUGGGUUAAGUCCCGCAACGAGCGCAACCCUCGUCUUUAGUUGCCAGCACUUAGGGUGGGCACUCUAGAGAGACUGCCGGUGACAAACCGGAGGAAGGUGGGGAUGACGUCAAGUCAGCAUGCCCCUUACGCCCUGGGCGACACACGUACUACAAUGGUGGGGACAAAGGGCAGCCAACUCGCAAGAGUGAGCGAAUCUCAGCAAACCCCGCCUCAGUUCAGAUAGCAGGCUGCAACUCGCCUGCUUGAAGGAGGAAUCGCUAGUAAUCGCCGGUCAGCAUACGGCGGUGAAUACGUUCCCGGGCCUUGUACACACCGCCCGUCACACCAUGGAAGCUGGCCACGCCCGAAGUCGUUACCCUAACCUGCAAAGGAGGAGGGCGCCGAAGGCAGGGCUAGUGACUGGGGUGAAGUCGUAACAAGGUAGCCGUACCGGAAGGUG